Molecule: unclassified non-coding RNA, 1046 nt
Filed under: Daphnia pulex (common water flea)
Lineage: Eukaryota; Metazoa; Arthropoda; Branchiopoda; Diplostraca; Daphniidae
Description: immunoglobulin domain-containing protein oig-4-like, transcript variant X3
Source: RNAcentral
AGUCGCCUUCUUGCUAGCAGUCAGUUAAGAAGUGCCUGUCCUACUAGUGCCAGCCAAAUUCUAGCUGAAUCAAAUGAAGUCGCUCUCGCUUAGAUAUGGUUUAAUUCUUUUCCUAUUAAUCAUAGAUAGUCUAGAUUCAGCAGCGGUUCCUAAAGGUGGUGCCGGAUCUGGAGGUCGCGGAGUCAAAGGAAUGCGCCACAAAGCGGGCGGGAGAAAGGCAGGAGAACGUCGUCCCGUAUUAAGUAGCGCUGGCAUUCGAGCGGGAGCAAAUACGGUCGUUCAAGAGUCUCCGACGCUGACAGCAGUCGGGGUCGGAGUACACCCGUUGGGUAACAGAAAAACAGAAGAAUCGGAAUCUUACUACAACAAUCCAAAUGGAGCCAAAGUGAUAGACGCGUCUCACUUCGAAUCGGAAUACAUUCUCGGUCGGAAGUUGGCAUUUUACUGUAAGGCACAAGGCGUUCCACGCCCGCACAUAACCUGGCUUAAGGACGGUAUCGAACUGUACGCCCAUCCAUUCUUUCAAGUGCAUGAAUACAAAGUUGGCAAAGAUUUGAUCAAGUCCAAGAUGGAAAUCGAUCCAGCAACGCAAAAGGAUUCUGGUUUCUACGAAUGCCAGGCGGACAAUAAGUACGCCAUUGACAAGAGAGGAUUCCGUACCGAUUACACGUUAGACGUUUACUAAAAAUCGGCUUCUUCGGAUGUUAAAUUAAAGCUUGGAAAUAUGAAACGUUGAAAUUAGUACACUCUGGAGACCUAUAUUGUCUCGCGGCGGUAUAAAGGCCACUGCCCACUUGCCACUUUCGUCUUCGUAAAUUUUUAAAAGAUCAAACUUUGCCAACUGUUAUAGCACUUUUGGGGAUUCAUCGGCUAUUCAAGUCACGCAGACUAUAUUCUACACGAACGCCGUCCCAAACGAUUGUAUCUACUUAUGUUUUGUUUGGUUCUUCUUGAACGAGAUAUAAAUGUACUCGCCACAUCUUAAUGUCUUUUGUUACUUGUGUUUGAGCAAUCUAUCGCAGUUUAAAUAAAUACGAAGAAUGUUA